Lemur catta (Ring-tailed lemur) is the source of this 232-nucleotide long non-coding RNA. RefSeq lists it as uncharacterized. The transcript is spliced from 3 exons. NCBI's taxonomy places the organism in Eukaryota, Metazoa, Chordata, Mammalia, Primates, Lemuridae. The record is from RefSeq and is a predicted model, not a curated record.
GCCCCCUACAUCUGCCCUGUUGAUACGGGAUUCAGAUUCUGGAGCUUCAGCAAAGUUUUUAAAGUGGAGGUGAUGGAAGAGACCAGCCAGGGCCGUGUUCAGAUGGGGUUAGGAAGCCAAUGAGGUGUGAUGCAAAAGGAAGAUGUGUAUGCUAUCAGGAUGGCAGGGACCCUGUCGUUAAACAAGAACCUACAGAUGGAGGAGACACGAGCACCAUAAUCUCACCCAUCAA